GUCAAUUUAGUUUAAUGUAGAAUGUUAAUUUUGUAAAUUAAAGGUUGGAUUGGCU
RNAcentral lists this transfer RNA (55 nucleotides) under Gnathostoma spinigerum. Its description in RNAcentral is "tRNA-Thr". Lineage: Eukaryota; Metazoa; Nematoda; Chromadorea; Rhabditida; Gnathostomatidae. The record is from RNAcentral.